GUCCAGAGUAACCUAGUGGACAUGGCAUCUGCCCGGUAAGCGGAACACUGUGGGUUCGAUUCCCAUCCCUGGACA
Molecule: transfer RNA, 75 nt
Filed under: Cordylochernes scorpioides
Lineage: Eukaryota; Metazoa; Arthropoda; Arachnida; Pseudoscorpiones; Chernetidae
Description: tRNA-Thr
Rfam family: tRNA
About the family: Transfer RNA (tRNA) molecules are approximately 80 nucleotides in length.
Source: RNAcentral